Molecule: long non-coding RNA, 1785 nt
Organism: Rhodamnia argentea
Lineage: Eukaryota; Viridiplantae; Streptophyta; Magnoliopsida; Myrtales; Myrtaceae
Exons: 3
Source: RefSeq, a predicted model, not a curated record
UUGAGUUUGCUCUCCAUCAGUAUGAUUGUGGAUGAGGAUUUGGGAGGAAAUCGAGUCAUUAGUUCUGCGAUCGCCUCCUGUGUCCAAAAUAUUGUCCGUUGCUCUGUUAAUUGCAGUGAUCGAUUGUGAUCAAGCUGAAACAAAGAAGCAUUAAGGAAAACGAAAAAUAAAAUUCUAUAUUAACACUCGAAAAAAGAUGGUGGCCACAGGCCAUGGAAAAAUGCAAUAUUGACAGUUGGAGUAAGAAAAUUCUGAUAUUGGCGUAUUUGGUGUACUUUCUUGCAAGUAUUUAAUAUGAACAGUUUGAUGAUUUGAUUCUCACAAGAGAAGAGAGUUGUUCCUCAAUCAGUUCUUGGUUGUUAUUGACAAUUCAUUAGAAAGGAAAUAUUAUCACUUGGAAAUCGAUUUUCGCUGAGAUAACAGUCAUGGCCAAUCAUUUGCAUGAGCCUAUGAACUCUCUUGCUACCAAUUCCGUGGUUGACAUUGUUGAAAGUAACACUGGCAGCUUUUAGGAUUGAGGUUGACAUUGUUGAAACUAACACCUGCAACUUUUAGGAUAGAGGAGCGAGCCUUUUGGAUAAAUGCUUGUGCUAGAACACUUAUCAUCCACGUCCGUUAUCCAUUAAAGAUCCUUCAACAUGCUCCUUUCUCGUCCAAUACUUUGAUUCCAUCCUAUCAUUGUCAGUGGCGGGUGGCCAUGGGAUUGCUAGUUGGAGACUCAUUGGUUCGCCUUCUUGCUAGCCCAAAAGCUAUGUCCUAGAUUGCCGUGGUUUUUUCGUGACUGAGACUAGAUUCUGAAUGCAUUCAAUCACGAACACUUGAUAAUGAGUGGGAAUCCAUAUCCCUUUUCCUUCUUUUUCAUUGAGAGUGAUUUAGAUUGAUUGGACCUGCGAUUAUCAGAUGUGGUAUAACCAAACCAAGUAGCUAGCUCCAAUUGGGAUGUUAAUUAAGGGAUUUGGAUAGAGGGUUCUUUGUACACAACAUUGAAACAAGUUUGUAGGCAAUCAUCCCUUGCCUGAAUAAUAAAAGUUUUGAUACAUUAGCCACCAAGAUCAAGUAUCGAACAGGAUGGGCUCCCCUUAUAGUUCAACAGUAAUUGGAGAUAGUGGGUGUUUCACAACAGUUGUCUAUAUAUGAACUGGUAUUCGUUUUUCAUAUGCAUAUGCUUUUCCUGUAAUUAGAAUCCUCUGAUUGUUUCGUUCAACAUUACUGAGUGGCCGGCUUUUUAGAUCCUUCAUAUGGUGCUUAUUUCCAUGUAUUCUCAUAGGGAAGGGGCAAAGAAUUUUACUUGUAAAAUGUUCAGCAGUUGAAAAUCCUGGUACAGGCCAUGGGAAAAGUUGGUUUCUGAUGAAAGUGACUUCUGUACUCUGAUAAGGGCCCCUGUGAAAGGCGAUACUUCUAGAUAAAUCGUACUGCAUUUCAAAUCCUUAUCGAUAAUCCAAAGAAAGUAUACAAAUUGAUCGUCACAGAAUCAAUUCAUUUCUCUCUCCUGAGCUUUAAGGAUUCUGUCCAAUGUUCUUGUGGUUCACUUUUCCACAAUAAAGCCAAUUGUCUGUGCACUCAUAUUCUGAUUGAUGUGCCACACGGAAUGUUCAUAAAUGGGAGGAUCUAGCAUAACAACGCCUAGCAAAUGCACUGAAAUCACAUGACUGGAAAUUGACAUGGAGGAAGUAGUGUCGUGUGUGCAGAGUCUAGACCAAAUGGGGACAAUUCUUGCUUGUCGAGGCGAUACCUAGGCUCGAGUUGGAAACUUGGCUGGUGGAGUGGUAUGCUAACCUUUCGAUC